GCGGUUUGAUCCUGGCUCAGGACGAACGCUGGCGGCGUGCUUUACAUAUGCAAGUCGAACGGUGAACCGGUGCUUGCACCGGGGAUCAGUGGCGAACGGGUGAGUAACACGUGAGCAAUCUGCCCCGAACUCUGGGAUAACUGCGGGAAACCGCAGCUAAUACCGGAUACGACCCAAGGAGGCAUCUCCAUUGGGUGGAAAGUUUUUCGGUUCGGGAUGAGCUCGCGGCCUAUCAGCUUGUUGGUGGGGUAAUGGCCUACCAAGGCGACGACGGGUAGCCGGCCUGAGAGGGCGACCGGCCACACUGGGACUGAGACACGGCCCAGACUCCUACGGGAGGCAGCAGUGGGGAAUAUUGCGCAAUGGGCGAAAGCCUGACGCAGCGACGCCGCGUGGGGGAUGACGGCCUUCGGGUUGUAAACCUCUUUCAGUGGGGACGAAGCCGUGAGGUGACGGUACCUACAGAAGAAGCACCGGCCAACUACGUGCCAGCAGCCGCGGUAAUAAACCUAAAUAGC
Molecule: ribosomal RNA, 518 nt
Filed under: uncultured bacterium
Lineage: Bacteria
Description: bacterial SSU rRNA
Rfam family: Bacterial small subunit ribosomal RNA
Source: RNAcentral